AGAAUUUUAUUUAGGAUUUGAUUAGGAUUUGGUUUAGGAUUUAGAGUUUGAUUAGGAUUUUAUUUAGGAUUUAGGAUUUGAUUUAGGAUUUGAUUUAGGAUUUAGUUUAGGAUUUAGAAUUUGGUUAAGGUUUCAUUUAGGAUUUAGGUUUUAGUUUAGGAUUUAGAGUUUGAUUAGGAUUUGGUUAAAAGUUUGGUUAGGAUUUGAUUAAGGAUUAGGAUUUGAUUUAGGAUUAGGAUUUGAUUUAGGAUUCAAGGUUUGAUUUAGGAUUUAGAAUUUGAUUAGAGUUUACUUUAGGAUUUAGAGUUUGAUUAAGAUUUUAUAUAGUAUUUAGGAUUUGGUUUAGAGUUUGGUUUAGGAUUUAGGAUUUUAUUAAGAUUUAUUUAGGAUUUAAGAUUUAAUUAGUUUUGGCAUAAAGUUUGAAUGAAGUCCAAUAGGAUUUUAACUUGGAUUAAAUUAAGAUUGAAUUGAGAUAUAUUUGAGAUGUAUUUAUAAUUAUUCUAAUAUUUCUUUAAAAUUUCUUAUUAUUUCUUUGAAAUUUCUUUGAGGUUUCUUUAAAUUUGAUUAAAGCUUGCUUAGUAUUAUUAUGGUCUACUUAGAGUUUAGUUAGUAUUCUAUUAUAGUUAGGAUUUUGUUGUUACAAAUUCCAUUCUACCUUCCACAGCCAGGU
Molecule: long non-coding RNA, 670 nt
Filed under: Physcomitrium patens
Lineage: Eukaryota; Viridiplantae; Streptophyta; Bryopsida; Funariales; Funariaceae
Description: long non-coding RNA (PPAT_LNC009548)
Source: RNAcentral